Molecule: ribosomal RNA, 157 nt
Filed under: Gigaspora margarita
Lineage: Eukaryota; Fungi; Glomeromycota; Glomeromycetes; Diversisporales; Gigasporaceae
Description: 5.8S ribosomal RNA
Rfam family: 5.8S ribosomal RNA
About the family: 5.8S ribosomal RNA (5.8S rRNA) is a component of the large subunit of the eukaryotic ribosome. It is transcribed by RNA polymerase I as part of the 45S precursor that also contains 18S and 28S rRNA. Functionally, it is thought that 5.8S rRNA may be involved in ribosome translocation.
Source: RNAcentral
AAACUUUCAACAAUAGAUCUCUUGGCUCUCGCAUCGAUGAAGAACGCAGCGAAAUGCGAUAAGUAAUAUGAAUUGCAGAAUUCCGUGAAUCAUCAAAUCUUUGAACGCAAAUUGCACUUCUUGGUAUUCCGAGGAGUACACAUGCUUGAGGGUCAGU